CAAUAGCGUAUAUUAAAGUUGUUGCAGUUAAAAAGCUCGUAGUUGGAUUUCUGGUCGGAAGCUCCUGUCCUCUGAUGAGCGUACAAGUGCGUCCUACCAUCCUUCUGUCAACCUUUAAGGCUUUCGCGGCUUUCUAGGGGCUCAGAUAUUUUACCUUGAGAAAAUUAGAGUGUUUCAGGCAGGCUAGCGCCGGAAUACAUUAGCAUGGAAUAAUGGAAUAGGACUUUUGCCUCUUCUGUUGGUCAUGAGGCUCGAGUAAUGAUUAAUAGGGAUAGUUGGGGGCAUUAGUACUUAACUGUCAGAGGUGAAAUUCUCGGAUUUGUUAAAGACUAACUUAUGCGAAAGCAUUUGCCAAGGAUGUUUUCAUUAA
This 370-nucleotide ribosomal RNA is filed under the name uncultured eukaryote. Its description in RNAcentral is "partial 18S ribosomal RNA". It matches the Rfam family "Eukaryotic small subunit ribosomal RNA", at positions 592 to 976 of the family's 1831-position model. The record is from RNAcentral.